Molecule: long non-coding RNA, 474 nt
Filed under: Panax ginseng (ginseng)
Lineage: Eukaryota; Viridiplantae; Streptophyta; Magnoliopsida; Apiales; Araliaceae
Description: long non-coding RNA (PGIN_LNC017079)
Source: RNAcentral
GUUCAGGUGAAGAUAGUUCGUAAACUUGUUUAGCCUAGUCUGUGAAAUUCUUUUGUUUUAUCUACCGAAUAUUUUUUCCCAAAUUGAAACUUAUGUAUUGUUUGCGAAUUAUUAUGUGAUCUAUUAAUCAUUGAAAUUUGAAAGUAGCUUCUUUGUGCUGGUAUGUGUUCAUCCUCAAGACAGGCUACAGAUUUUUUGAUGGAAGCCAAGAAGCAGAAAAAAUGCUAAAGAGGUUCAGUACUGUAUAGUGGAGUGUGGAUUUCUAUUCUUUCUUUCUUUACAGUUGCAGUUAUUAGAAUGGGAGAGAACUAGUGUAACACCCCAGUUUCGAUUAACGAAAGGUAUAGAAAAAAUUUGUCGAUAUAUUAAGACUAUGUUUGUUUGCAAGGAUUACACUUGGGAUAUAAUUAUUAAUUUUAAGUGUCUUGUUUGUUUUUAAAUUUGAACUUGAGACUAUUAGUCCCGACUCCUGAG